This 344-nucleotide ribosomal RNA is filed under the name uncultured eukaryote. RNAcentral's name for it is "SSU rRNA". It matches the Rfam family "Eukaryotic small subunit ribosomal RNA", at positions 567 to 926 of the family's 1831-position model. The record is from RNAcentral.
CCAGCAGCCGCGGUAAUUCCAGCUCCGAUAGCGUAUAUUAAAAUUGUUGCAGUUAAAAAGCUCGUAGUUGGAUUUCUGGGGCCAGGACAAGAUUUCACUGAUGUGAUUCGAAUCCUGGACUCAUCCUUCUGUUAACCUUCGUGCUAUUCAUUUAGUACGUUGCGGGCUCAGAUACUUUACCUUGAGGAAAUUAGAGUGUUCCAGGCAGGCUUUCGCCGGAAUACGUUAGCAUGGAAUAAUAGAAUAGGACUCGUCCUUUUUGUUGGUUUGAAGGGCGCAGUAAUGAUUAAUAGGGAUAGUUGGGGGCAUUAGUAUUUAAUUGUCAGAGGUGAAAUUCUUUGAUU